RNAcentral lists this ribosomal RNA (756 nucleotides) under uncultured bacterium. RNAcentral's name for it is "bacterial SSU rRNA". It matches the Rfam family "Bacterial small subunit ribosomal RNA", at positions 8 to 796 of the family's 1533-position model. The record is from RNAcentral.
AGAGUUUGAUCAUGGCUCAGAAUCAACGCUGGCGGCGUGCCUAACACAUGCAAGUCGAACGAGAAAGUGGAGCAAUCCAUGAGUAAAGUGGCGCACGGGUGAGUAACACGUGACUAACCUACCCUUGAGUGGGGAAUAACUUCGGGAAACCGAGGCUAAUACCGCAUAACACCUACGGGUCAAAGGAGCAAUUCGCUUAAGGAGGGGGUCGCGGCAGAUUAGUUAGUUGGCGGGGUAAUGGCCCACCAAGACAGUGAUCUGUAUCCGGCCUGAGAGGGCGCACGGACACACUGGAACUGAGACACGGUCCAGACUCCUACGGGAGGCAGCAGUGGGGAAUUUUGCGCAAUGGGGGAAACCCUGACGCAGCAACGCCGCGUGGAGGAUGAAGUCUCUUGGGACGUAAACUCCUUUCGAUCGGGACGAUAAUGACGGUACCGGAAGAAGAAGCCCCGGCUAACUUCGUGCCAGCAGCCGCGGUAAUACGAGGGGGGCGAGCGUUGUUCGGAAUUAUUGGGCGUAAAGGGUGCGUAGGCGGUUCGGUAAGUCUUGUGUGAAAUCUUCGGGCUCAACUCGAAGUCUGCACGAGAAACUGCCGGGCUUGAGUGUGGGAGAGGUGAGUGGAAUUUCCGGUGUAGCGGUGAAAUGCGUAGAUAUCGGAAGGAACACCUGUGGCGAAAGCGGCUCACUGGACCACAACUGACGCUGAGGCACGAAAGCUAGGGGAGCAAACAGGAUUAGAUACCCUAGUAGUCC